Molecule: long non-coding RNA, 2055 nt
Organism: Helianthus annuus (common sunflower)
Lineage: Eukaryota; Viridiplantae; Streptophyta; Magnoliopsida; Asterales; Asteraceae
Exons: 8
Source: RefSeq, a predicted model, not a curated record
CUAUGUCACUCAUCACGUGAGCCCUUUUCAAAUUUCAAAUUACUACCUCUUUUCAUUUUCGUUCUCUCUCUCCCUCAAAGAUGAGUUGGAUCUGUGGAUUCAAAAGGAAAAAGAAUGUAGAGAUGUGUUGUUGAUCUACAAUAUCAGAGUGGAAUCAAAAUCCUCAUCUUCAUCUUCAUCUUCCGACUUGAUAAAGAGCCGGUGUGGGAUCUGAGUUUGUUCUUCAUCUAGGGUUUUGAGGGUUUUGAUGAUGAGAGCAAUUGUGUGACGGGCUUGCCUUGCUCUCAAGAAAUCGGUUAGUAAUUUUUUUCUCACGAUUAUAUGAUUCCCUGUACCUAGGGUUUUAUUUAAUUCAAAAUUUGAAUUCCUACACAUAUCCCCAAACACCCAUUAUCUGCUUUUCUUUUCAUUUGGAAUAACCGAGAAGAGAGAGAGAGAGAGAGAGGGAGAGAGAGAUAGAGACGAGAAGGAGAGUCAAGAUACAACGAGGUUGAACGAUGGAGGUAAUAACUCAAGGUGUUCGGAUCUGGAAUCCUAGGGUUAGGCUCUUAUGAUUUUCAUUUGGGGUUUUUUGUUCUGCAAUUGAGGUUUCAAGCCGAAAUCGGUGAAAAUUACAUCUGAAUUGUUACAAUCAAGCAUACAUGGUGUAGUCGUUGACCCUAAUGUUGGAACCGUUUUGUGGUUUUCUGUUUGUAAAGGCUGGCUUUCUGGUUGGAAUCACAAAUAUUGUACCAGUACGUGUCGAAAUACGAAGGUGAUUUGUUGGAAAAAUGUUACUUUGCGGAGCAUAAGCUCGAAUGGGAAGUUAUCGAUGGUGGGCUAAAGAAUAAAAUCGAGAUCGCAUACCCAAUUUCUUUAAGCAGAUUGGGACAAGAAAGGAACAAAUUCAAUGCUUUAGAAGGAAACAGGUUUAGGAGUUCCCAUGGUAAUAUAAGAGCCAAAGCUGCAGAGGAUGUAAGCACAAUUUUUCAAAACAAUCUAAAAAGUCAGCAAUUGGUUAUGGAUGCAAAUGGCACGAAGCCUUUGCUUUCGAAUUUCACUUAUGAUGAUGAUGUCACCGUUCGGACCAAAGCACUUGGUGCAAUCUUCAGUGAGUAGCUAUUCGAAAGCCUCUGAUUAGGCACGAAGAAGGUCUCGCCUGCUUACGACGCACCGCUACGAAAACCCUCCCUUCCAUUUCCUUCACCACUGUAUUGUUUAAUUUUUUAAUUCAUCUCAGAAGAAGGUUUGAAUAAAAAAAAAGCAUCGUUGGAUCAUAAUCUGGAAUUGCGCUUAGGGGGAAGUUCAGCCUCAAAUAGGCCAAAAAACAUAGAAUUUGGAAAUAAUCGUCAAGUCAAAUUCAGUCGCCAAUCUAACUCGAUUCAUUUUAGACUUGAUAAGAAAAGUGUUUGCGGGUCAAGAGGACCCAACCCGUUAAUCAACCCACCUUUAUGUAUGGACUACAGAAGGGGAGUCAAAAGUGAAAGAAUAAAAAAUAAUCGGAUGGACAAGACGAAUCAUGGAUUAGCCAAGUAAAUGGGCAUAUCUAUAGAGCAUGAAGGAGUUGAUGUUCAAAUAAUAGCGUCGCUGGUGAUGUUACUACUACUGGAGAUAAUUGAAAACAGUUGAUCUCCGCUCGUGAUGUUACUGCGCAUGAGAUAAGUGAAAGAAGUUGAUCCUCAGUAAGGCUGCUUUUGCUUAAAUAGGUGACUGUGUUAGAAACAAGUGUCAUGCGAAUAUAGGACAAUAGGAUUGAGCUCGGUACCGAAAGUCCCAAAAAAUGGGUACCGGAACCGAAAAUACCCGGUACGGUAUGGUUUAGUACCGGUAUUUGAAGGUUUAUGUUCAAUGGUCAUGUGCAACUGUUGCAAUGUAUCAAGCUGAUUGAUGCUGCUGAAGCAAGUGUGUUGUCCGGCUCGCCUAGAAGAUAGGUUGUAUGGGAUGGAGGUGGAGGCACAAGAGAGUUCUCAUAUGGGAUAAUGUAUCUAUAUUUAUUUGUUUAUAUCCUACCUUAAAAAAGAGUACAUAUACACACUAUAUGUUAUUUUUUUAAACUCGAUGGCCUAACUUAUUUAC